CAGAGGGUGCAAACGUUGUUCGGAAUUACUGGGCGUAAAGCGUGCGCAGGCGGCCUUGCAAGUCGGGCGUGAAAUCCCACGGCUCAACCGUGGAAGUGCACUCGAAACUGCUUGGCUAGAGUCUUGGAGAGGAAGGCGGAAUGCUUGGUGUAGAGGUGAAAUUCGUAGAUAUCAAGCGGAACACCGGUGGCGAAGGCGGCCUUCUGGACAAUGACUGACGCUAAAACACGAAAGCGUGGGGAGCAAACAGGAUUAGAUACCCUGGUAGUCCACGCCGUAAACGAUGAGUGCUAGGUGUCACGGGCUUUGACCCUCGUGGUGCCGAAGCUAACGCGUUAAGCACUCCGCCUGGGGAGUACGGCCGCAAGGCUA
This 372-nucleotide ribosomal RNA is filed under the name uncultured organism. RNAcentral describes it as "bacterial SSU rRNA". It matches the Rfam family "Bacterial small subunit ribosomal RNA", at positions 526 to 896 of the family's 1533-position model. The record is from RNAcentral.